UAAAGGUUUGGUCCUGGCCUUUUUAUUAGUUAGUAGUAAAAUUAUACAUGCAAGCCUCAACAACCCAGUGAGAAUGCCCUUAAAAUCUAUUAGAUCUAAAGGAGUGGGUAUCAAGCACGCCAUUAGGCAGCUAAUAACACCUUGCUUAGCCACACCCCCACGGGUUACAGCAGUAACAAAAAUUUAGCGAUUAACGAAAGUUAGACUAAGUUAUACUACUCUUAGGGUUGGUAAAUUUCGUGCCAGCCACCGCGGUCAUACGAUUAACCCAAAUUAAUAAAUUCCGGCGUAAAGCGUGUUCAGAGAAAUUAAUAACAAUAAAGAUGAGCUAUUUCUACACUGUAAAAAGUUAUAGAAAUACUAAAAAUAUACCACGAAAGUGACUUUAUCAUACUUUACAAUACGAUAGCUAAGACACAAACUGGGAUUAGAUACCCCACUAUGCUUAGCCCUAAACUUUAAUAAUUCAUAACAAAAUUAUUCGCCAGAGAACUACUAGCAAUAGCUUAAAACUUAAAGGACUUGGCGGUGCUUUAUACCCACCUAGAGGAGCCUGUUAUAUAAUCGAUAAACCCCGAUAUACCUCACCACUACUUGCUAAUUCAGCCUAUAUACCGCCAUCUUCAGCAAACCCUUAAAAGGGAACACAGUAAGCUUAAUAAUUUCCAUAAAAACGUUAGGUCAAGGUGUAGCCUAUGUAGUGGUACCUAAUGGGCUACAUUUUCUGACUCAGAACAUUCCAACGGAUAUUUUUAUGAAAUUAAAAAUUAAAGGAGAAUUUAGUAGUAAAUUAAGAAUAGAGCGCUUAAUUGAAUUAGGCCAUGAAGCACGUACACACCGCCCGUCACCCUCCUCAAGUAACUACACUUCCUUAAACUAUAUUUUGACUUAACAAAAUACAAGAGGAGAUAAGUCGUAACAAGGUAAGCAUACUGGAAAGUGUGCUUGGAAAACU
This 955-nucleotide non-coding RNA is filed under the name Chrysospalax trevelyani. RNAcentral describes it as "12S ribosomal RNA". It matches the Rfam family "Bacterial small subunit ribosomal RNA". The record is from RNAcentral. Lineage: Eukaryota; Metazoa; Chordata; Mammalia; Afrosoricida; Chrysochloridae.